This 1311-nucleotide long non-coding RNA is filed under the name Daphnia pulex (common water flea). RNAcentral's name for it is "uncharacterized LOC124209331". The record is from RNAcentral. Lineage: Eukaryota; Metazoa; Arthropoda; Branchiopoda; Diplostraca; Daphniidae.
GGCAGUGUAUUUCCCAGUUUCUACAAUACAUGUAACUAUACUCUUACUGUGUUCGUGUUUAUCUUAACUGUAGUUUGUGCAAUAUAAUUGUUUUACGUGCAUCAAUCAUCACAGUGUCGUGGGAGAUUGUUUUCAAUGAGACGUUUUUUAGACUCUGGCUAAUUUCCAAACAUUGAAAACAAACACAACCGUGUGAACCGUUUAAUGUUCUGAAAUAUAAGUUUGCUUUGUUUCAACAGCCUCAAAGAGAAGUGAUCCCUCAAGAGGUUGACCUUGAUGGCAUGGAGUUGCUGAAACCGGUCAUGAAUAUGCUCACGGAGCCGCAAAACAAGUUGCUAUCGAAUUUAGACACGAAAUCCUUGCCCAACCUGGGAUCUUGAUGAUCACAAGUCAUGGAUCUUGGUACCACCCUUUGAAUUUCAUUUCGGGACGAAACCAAUUCCUCACCAUUGGAGAAGGAAACAGAAACCAGUUUACGGCAAUAUUCCGGCAAGGUUAAAAAUGCCGUCUUACAACUGUUGAAUGCAACCAAAGACCAGGGAUCGAUUAUGGAAAGACGUUUGCUCCGGUAACUUAUCGUGAAGCCGUCCGUUAACCAACGUUAUACAAAUAACCGGGACUUGUAGAAUACAUCCCUACAACAACAACGACAACAACAACAACACUGGAAUAUUAGAAGAAUUGGGGGAAUAUUUAGUUCCUCUUCGGUUUGCCACUCAACUGGAAACUUUCGGACGGGUUCAAAAAUUCUCAAAAAUUUAAUGUACCCUGUCUACCAGAAGAGACACUGCUGAGGCUCACACUCAUUUGGGUUCAAUGAACAUAUUAACGAAACCAGCCCAGGGAAAUUCAAACGGUUAUGAAAAAUUUAUUUCACUAGUCAUUAUUUCCUUUUUUUAAUUCUCUAUCUUAUGUUCGGACAUCCUUGCAACGUGUGAUGUUACUACUGAGGUGUUAUCCUGAGGUUAUUCCACCGACAGUUGCACGCAGGGCUUCCAACAGAUUGGGGAAAAACCGCAUUUUGACUUAUACACCAGAUACUGAAAAGAUUGAAGAACACUUCAUGUCGAAACGAGAAAAGGAAAACUGCUUAGUACCAAAAUCCCACGUAACAACAAGAACAAAGAUGAUGUGUCAAAUACAGAAAAGUUGUAAGACCAUUUCAUUUACGAGGAUAAACCUUGUACUUCAACAGGUUUUAAAUGUGGGCGUGUAAUAAAACCUCCAUUACGUAUAAAGUAGUUAUAUAUUUUACAUUUAUUUUGGCGUGUACUCAAAAUAUUAUACCAAUACAGAAUCCUUAAAUUAAAA